This 964-nucleotide ribosomal RNA is filed under the name Mycobacterium sp. SL-A10. Its description in RNAcentral is "bacterial SSU rRNA". It matches the Rfam family "Bacterial small subunit ribosomal RNA", at positions 75 to 1055 of the family's 1533-position model. Lineage: Bacteria; Bacillati; Actinomycetota; Actinomycetes; Mycobacteriales; Mycobacteriaceae. The record is from RNAcentral.
GCCCUUCGGGGUACUCGAGUGGCGAACGGGUGAGUAACACGUGGGUGAUCUGCCCUGCACUUCGGGAUAAGCCUGGGAAACUGGGUCUAAUACCGGAUAUGACCAUGAGAUGCAUGUCUCGUGGUGGAAAGCUUUUGCGGUGUGGGAUGGGCCCGCGGCCUAUCAGCUUGUUGGUGGGGUUAAGGCCUACCAAGGCGACGACGGGUAGCCGGCCUGAGAGGGUGACCGGCCACACUGGGACUGAGAUACGGCCCAGACUCCUACGGGAGGCAGCAGUGGGGAAUAUUGCACAAUGGGCGCAAGCCUGAUGCAGCGACGCCGCGUGAGGGACGACGGCCUUCGGGUUGUAAACCUCUUUCAGCACAGACGAAGCGCAAGUGACGGUAUGUGCAGAAGAAGGACCGGCCAACUACGUGCCAGCAGCCGCGGUAAUACGUAGGGUCCGAGCGUUGUCCGGAAUUACUGGGCGUAAAGAGCUCGUAGGUGGUUUGUCGCGUUGUUCGUGAAAACUCACAGCUCAACUGUGGGCGUGCGGGCGAUACGGGCAGACUGGAGUACUGCAGGGGAGACUGGAAUUCCUGGUGUAGCGGUGGAAUGCGCAGAUAUCAGGAGGAACACCGGUGGCGAAGGCGGGUCUCUGGGCAGUAACUGACGCUGAGGAGCGAAAGCGUGGGGAGCGAACAGGAUUAGAUACCCUGGUAGUCCACGCCGUAAACGGUGGGUACUAGGUGUGGGUUUCCUUCCUUGGGAUCCGUGCCGUAGCUAACGCAUUAAGUACCCCGCCUGGGGAGUACGGCCGCAAGGCUAAAACUCAAAGAAAUUGACGGGGGCCCGCACAAGCGGCGGAGCAUGUGGAUUAAUUCGAUGCAACGCGAAGAACCUUACCUGGGUUUGACAUGCACAGGACGUGCCUAGAGAUAGGUAUUCCCUUGUGGCCUGUGUGCAGGUGGUGCAUGGCUGUCGU